This 1484-nucleotide ribosomal RNA is filed under the name metagenome. Its description in RNAcentral is "bacterial SSU rRNA". It matches the Rfam family "Bacterial small subunit ribosomal RNA". The record is from RNAcentral.
AGAGUUUGAUCCUGGCUCAGGAUGAACGCUAGCGGCAGGCUUAACACAUGCAAGUCGAGGGGCAGCGCGGGGCGGCAACGUCCUGGCGGCGACCGGCGGAAGGGUGCGUAACGCGUGAGCGACAUGCCCGUUGCCCGGGGACAACCGGUGGAAACGCCGACUAAUCCCCGAUGGGAUACGAUGCUUCAUGGCAUUGUAUUGAAAGUUACGGCGGCGACGGAUUGGCUCGCGUCCGAUUAGCUUGUUGGCGGGGUAACGGCCCACCAAGGCUACGAUCGGUAGGGGUUCUGAGAGGAAGGCCCCCCACAAUGGGACUGAGACACGGCCCAUACUCCUACGGGAGGCAGCAGUGAGGAAUAUUGGUCAAUGGGCGGAAGCCUGAACCAGCCAUGCCGCGUGCGGGAAGGAGGCCCUAUGGGCUGUGAACCGCUUUUGCCUGGGGGCAAUAAGGGCGUCGCGCACGUCCGAUGAGAGUACCAGGCGAAUAAGCAUCGGCUAACUCCGUGCCAGCAGCCGCGGUAAUACGGGGGAUGCGAGCGUUAUCCGGAUUCAUUGGGUUUAAAGGGUGCGUAGGCUGUGCGUCAAGUCGGGGGUGAAAUUCCGGUGCUCAACACCGGGGCUGCCCUUGAUACUGUCGCGCUGGAGUGCGGAUGCCGCCGGAGGAAUGAGUGGUGUAGCGGUGAAAUGCUUAGAUAUCACGAAGAACUCCGAUUGCGAAGGCAGCUCACUGGGGCGCAACUGACGCUGAAGCUCGAAAGCGCGGGUAUCGAACAGGAUUAGAUACCCUGGUAGUCCGCGCGGUAAACGAUGGAUGCCCGCUGUUGGGCCAACUGGUUCAGCGGCCAAGCGAAAGCAUUAAGCAUCCCACCUGGGGAGUACGCCGGCAACGGUGAAACUCAAAGGAAUUGACGGGGGCCCGCACAAGCGGAGGAACAUGUGGUUUAAUUCGAUGAUACGCGAGGAACCUUACCCGGGCUUGAAUUGCAGAGGAAGGAUUUGGAGACAAUGACGCCCUUCGGGGCCUCUGUGAAGGUGCUGCAUGGUUGUCGUCAGCUCGUGCCGUGAGGUGUCGGCUUAAGUGCCAUAACGAGCGCAACCCCUCUCCAUAGUUGCCAUCAGGUGAAGCUGGGCACUCUGUGGACACUGCCACCGUAAGGUGCGAGGAAGGUGGGGAUGACGUCAAAUCAGCACGGCCCUUACGUCCGGGGCUACACACGUGUUACAAUGGCAGGUACAGAGAGCCGGUCGUAUGCAAAUACGAUCCAAUCCUUAAAGCCUGUCUCAGUUCGGACUGGGGUCUGCAACCCGACCCCACGAAGCUGGAUUCGCUAGUAAUCGCGCAUCAGCCUUGGCGCGGUGAAUACGUUCCCGGGCCUUGUACACACCGCCCGUCAAGCCAUGAAAGCCGGGGGCGCCUGAAGUCCGUGACCGCAAGGAGCGGCCUAGGGCGAAACUGGUAAUUGGGGCUAAGUCGUAACAAGGUA